UACAGAGGGGGCAAGCGUUGUUCGGAAUUACUGGGCGUAAAGGGCGCGUAGGCGGCCUUCUAAGUCGAACUGGAAAUCCCCGGGCUCAACCCGGGAACUGCGUCCGAUACUGGAAGGCUUGAAUCCGGGAGAGGGAUGCGGAAUUCCAGGUGUAGCGGUGAAAUGCGUAGAUAUCGGGAGGAACACCAGUGGCGAAGGCGGCGAUCUGGGAAGAUACUGACGCUGAGGUGCGAAAGCGUGGGGAGCAAACAGG
RNAcentral lists this ribosomal RNA (253 nucleotides) under uncultured bacterium. RNAcentral's name for it is "partial 16S ribosomal RNA". It matches the Rfam family "Bacterial small subunit ribosomal RNA", at positions 524 to 776 of the family's 1533-position model. The record is from RNAcentral.